GUGCUCACUUCAGGAACACAUACACUAAAAUUGGAACAGUACAGAUAAGAUUAUCAUGGCUCCUGUGCAAGGAUGACACACAAAUUCGUGAAGUGUUCCAUAUUUUU
Dipodomys ordii (Ord's kangaroo rat) is the source of this 107-nucleotide small nuclear RNA. The record is from Ensembl. NCBI's taxonomy places the organism in Eukaryota, Metazoa, Chordata, Mammalia, Rodentia, Heteromyidae.